This 253-nucleotide ribosomal RNA is filed under the name uncultured bacterium. RNAcentral describes it as "partial 16S ribosomal RNA". It matches the Rfam family "Bacterial small subunit ribosomal RNA", at positions 524 to 776 of the family's 1533-position model. The record is from RNAcentral.
UACGAAGGGGGCUAGCGUUGCUCGGAAUCACUGGGCGUAAAGGGUGCGUAGGCGGGUCUUUAAGUCAGGGGUGAAAUCCUGGAGCUCAACUCCAGAACUGCCUUUGAUACUGAAGAUCUUGAGUUCGGGAGAGGUGGGUGGAACUGCGAGUGUAGAGGUGAAAUUCGUAGAUAUUCGCAAGAACACCAGUGGCGAAGGCGGCUCACUGGCCCGAUACUGACGCUGAUGCACGAAAGCGUGGGGAGCAAACAGG